CACAACAGUUCUCUCCUGUCCUUCCAGCCUUCAGCAGCCGCUUACCUAAUUUCUUCCUUGUACACUGGCCAAUUCAGGUCAGUCUAUGUGGCUUCCAGAUUUGGGCCGUAAGAACAAUUUUUAAAAGCUGUGCAUGUAGAUGAAGAAGUUUCUUCGCGCUGGACUUGGGGGAUCUGCCCCCAACUGCCCAUUUCUACAGCUGGAAAUACCGCUGGUGCCUAUGACCACUCUCUCCCUGCGAAGCUCG
This 247-nucleotide long non-coding RNA is filed under the name Meriones unguiculatus (Mongolian gerbil). RNAcentral's name for it is "lncRNA (ENSMUGG00000011513.1)". Lineage: Eukaryota; Metazoa; Chordata; Mammalia; Rodentia; Muridae. The record is from RNAcentral.